This 1794-nucleotide ribosomal RNA is filed under the name Rhipicephalus microplus (southern cattle tick). RNAcentral describes it as "SSU rRNA". Lineage: Eukaryota; Metazoa; Arthropoda; Arachnida; Ixodida; Ixodidae. The record is from RNAcentral.
CCUGGUUGAGCCUGCCAGUAAUCAUAUGCUUGUCUCAAAGAUUAAGUCAUGCAUGUAUAAUUACAUGCCGAAAUAAGGCGAAACCGCGAAUGGCUUAUUAAAUCAGUUAUGGUUCCUUAGAUAGUUUCUUUCUACUUGGAUAACUGUGGCAAUUCUAGAGCUAAUACAUGCAGGGAGCCUGGAGCCCUUUGGGUAACGGGUGCUUUUAUUAGACUAAGAUCGAUCGAGUUUCGGCCCGUAUUGUGUAGUGACCCUGAAUAACUUUAUUUUGAUCGCAUGGUCACGAGCCGGUGACGUUUCUUUGAAAUGUCACGGGCUUGUGGUAGGUUACUUGCUUACCAUGGUUGUUACGGGUAACGGAGAACCAGGUUUCGAUUCCGAAGAGGGAGCCUGAGCAAAGGGCUACCACAUCCAAGAAAGGCAGCAGGCGCGCAAACUGCCCACCCCCUCACGGGGAGGUAGUGACGAAAAAUAACAAUACGGGACUCUUUUGAGGCCCCGUAAAUGAAAUGAGUACAGUCUAAAUAUUUUAACGAGGAUCGAUUGGAGGGCAAGGCUGGUGCCAGCAGCCGCAGUAAUUCCAGCUCCAAUAGCGUAUACUAAACCUGCUGCGGGUAAAAAGCUCAUAGUUGCAUCUCAGUUACAGACGAGUAGUGCAUCUACCCGAUGCGACGGCUCGGACUGAACGCAUUGCCGUUUCUUUCUUGGUGCACUUCAUUAUGUGCCUCGAGAUGGCCGGUGCUUUUACUUUGAAAAAAUUAGACUGCUCAACGCAAGCGAGUCGCCUGAUUAAACUUGCAUAGAAUAAUAGAACAAGACCUUGUUUCUGUUCUGCUGGAUUUUGAAAUACAAGGUAAUGAUUAAGAGGGACGAACGGGGGCAUUCGUAUUGCGGUGCUAGAGGUUAAAUUCUUGGACCAUCACAAGACGAACUACUGCGAAAGCAUUUGCCACGAAUGUUUUCGUUGAUCAAGAACGUAAGUCAGAGGUUCGAAGGCGAUCAGAUACAGUCCUAGUUCUGACCAUAAACGAUGCCAACCAGCGAUCUGCCUGAGUUACUCAAAUGACUCGGCGGGCAGCUUCCGGGAAACCAAAGUAUUUGGGUUCUUGGGAAAGUAUGGUUACACAGCUGAAACUUAAAGAAAUUGGCGGAAGGGCACCACCAGGAGUGGAGCCUGCGGCCUAAUUUGACUCGACACGGGAAAACUUACCCGGCCCGAACACUGGGAGGAUUGACAGAUUGAGAGCUCUUUCUUGAUUCGUUGGAUGGUGGUGCAUGGCCGUUCUUAGUUAGUGGAAUGAUUUGUCUGGUUAAUUCCGAUAAUGAACGAGACUCUAGCCUAAUAAAUAGGUGCGGGGUUCCCAGCACCUUAAACCUUCCAAGAGGGACAAGUGGCUCCUAGCCGCACGAAACAGAGCAAUAAGAGAUCCGUGAUGCCCUUAGAUGUCCGUGGCUGCACGCGCGCUACACUGAAGGAAGCAGCGGGUCUUUAUCCCUGUCUGAAAAGACUGGGUAACCCGUGGAACUUCUUUCGUGAUUGAGAUAGGGGCUUGCAAUUGUUGCCCUUGAACGAGGAAUUCCCAGUAAGCGYGAGUCAUAAGCUCGCGUUGAUUACGUCCCUGUCCUUUGUACACACUGCCCAUCGCUACUACUGAUUGAAUGAUUUAGUGAAGUCUUCGGACCGAUGUCCGGCGUGGCCUUUCGGGUGCGCCGGUCUGUUGGAAAGAUCACCAAACUUGAUCAUUUAAAGGAAGUAAAAGUCGUAACAAGGUUUCUGUUGGUUACCUGCGGAAG